AGGGAAUCUUGCGCAAUGGGCGAAAGCCUGACGCAGCAACGCCGCGUGCGGGAAGAAGGCUCUCGGGUUGUAAACCGCUUUCAGUAGGAACGAAUUUGACGGUACCUGCAGAAGAAGGUGCGGCCAACUACGUGCCAGCAGCCGCGGUGACACGUAGGCACCAAGCGUUGUCCGGAUUUAUUGGGCGUAAAGAGCUCGUAGGCGGUUCAGUAAGUCGGGUGUGAAAACUCAGGGCUUAACCCUGAGCUGCCACCCGAUACUGCUGUGACUUGAGUCUGGUAGGGGAGUGGGGAAUUCCUGGUGUAGCGGUGAAAUGCGCAGAUAUCAGGAGGAACACCGGUGGCGAAGGCGCCACUCUGGGCCACGACUGACGCUGAGGAGCGAAAGCAUGGGUAGCAAAC
RNAcentral lists this ribosomal RNA (401 nucleotides) under uncultured bacterium. RNAcentral's name for it is "bacterial SSU rRNA". It matches the Rfam family "Bacterial small subunit ribosomal RNA", at positions 356 to 773 of the family's 1533-position model. The record is from RNAcentral.